UGGCUGGUGGUCCAAUGGUACGAUUCGGCGUUUGGGACGCCGAGAUAUGGGUUCGACUCCCUUCCAGCCAA
This 71-nucleotide transfer RNA is filed under the name Halogranum tailed virus 1. RNAcentral's name for it is "Halovirus HGTV-1 tRNA". It matches the Rfam family "tRNA". Rfam says of the family: Transfer RNA (tRNA) molecules are approximately 80 nucleotides in length. Their secondary structure includes four short double-helical elements and three loops (D, anti-codon, and T loops). Further hydrogen bonds mediate the characteristic L-shaped molecular structure. tRNAs have two regions of fundamental functional importance: the anti-codon, which is responsible for specific mRNA codon recognition, and the 3' end, to which the tRNAs corresponding amino acid is attached (by aminoacyl-tRNA synthetases). tRNAs cope with the degeneracy of the genetic code in two manners: having more than one tRNA (with a specific anti-codon) for a particular amino acid; and 'wobble' base-pairing, i.e. permitting non-standard base-pairing at the 3rd anti-codon position. The record is from Rfam by way of RNAcentral. Lineage: Duplodnaviria; Heunggongvirae; Uroviricota; Caudoviricetes; Thumleimavirales; Halomagnusviridae.